This is a long non-coding RNA of Homo sapiens (human), 3365 nucleotides long. Ensembl annotates it as TRHDE antisense RNA 1. Its record names the gene TRHDE-AS1. The record is from Ensembl. NCBI's taxonomy places the organism in Eukaryota, Metazoa, Chordata, Mammalia, Primates, Hominidae.
AUUCUCGAUGAGCGCGUUGUAGAUAAUCUUCAGAUUGUAAUUCCUCUGCGCGUCCAGUGUCCUAUUCAGCACCACCACUAAGACCUGGGUUUGCGGGUAGAGGAAAAAACCGGCUACAGGGACAGCCCCGAACGCCCGGUCCUCGGCCAGCUGCACUUUCUCCACCGCCACUCGGGAAGCGUGCAGCACUACGUAGCGGGUGGCGUUCCGGCACGCGAUCUCCACGUUGACCUCCCCGGAGAAGGUGAAGUUCUCCAUGAAGGCGGUGAGCAUCAGAUUGUAGUGCAGCGGCUUCAGGUGGCCCGACAGGCGCAGCUGCGUCCACGGCUCCCACGGCUCCCGCUCCUCCUCCGACGGCGGCUGGGCCGACGUGGUCCCCGGACUGGCCACCCCACCCGCCUCGGGCUGCCAGGAGUCCCCGCCUGCGUGGUGGUUGCGCCGGGCCGAUCCAGGGAGGCUCCCGUUGCCGCCGCGCUCCGGAAAGCCUGAGGGGCCACCGUCGGCGCCUGGCGUGGCACUCGCCCCGCACUCGUCGAAGCGCAGGCUGAGCAGCACAGCGAGCAUUGUGACCGCGAGCAAUGCCACGAGGGACACAGCGAAGGCCAGCACAAGCCGCUUGUGUACGGCGAUGUGGCGCUCCGUGGUGCGGGGUCGCACUCCCACUGAGUCUGCCCACGGGUCGGAGAGCCCCCUGCUGCCAGCCCGAAGCGCGGCGUCGUCUUCCCCCAUCGCGGCUGCGAAGGCGGCGGCGUUCGGUCCUCUGGGUGGAAUGUGCUCGCAGCAGCAGUGACGGCGGCCACAGCACGGGAGGCACCCGAGCCAUACACCCUGCAGCUGGAGAGAAAAGGAUGGCCGAGGUGGGAGAGACUAGAGUGAACCAGCAGGAGGAAGUCCCAGGGCCGCGAAGCUACGACGGAGAUCCGUCCUGGAAAAGCCUUCUCCACCCUGGGCACUUUAAGCGGCGGUGGCGGCAAACGGCAGGAGGUUGCAGACCCGACAGCGAGACUCCCUCAUUCCAGUCUUGCUCUGCCCUCCGGAGAUGACAAGUGAGAAAGAAGUGUCCGGCCGGGCCAUCCCCUUCAGAGAAGCAACCACUUCACAAGAAGAUUCUGAAGUUGGCCAUUUUUGAUCCCAGAACAGUUUCUCAUAGAUUAGAAAUAUUGGAGUCUACACAAAAAUCGAUAUUCAUUUACAAGAUCAUCACUAAACUUAUCUUGCAUAACGGAAUGUAACAUCUCAAGUUAAAGAGGAACUGCCCGGAACAGCCCGGGGAUUGUUCCUCUCUCCUGAGAAGGAAGAUUACCUCCAAAGCUCAUCCACUGAGUCACACUGCCCCUGUGGUGGAGGGCGGGCUGCCUUUCCAGGUUCCUCAGCUGUGGUGUAACUGAAGCAGGCACAAUCAAGACUCCAUCUGCUCGAGGCAGCUUUCUCGAACCUUGGGGAACCUACUCACAAUGGAUCACAGGCUUCUUUUGUUUUGUUUCUUGCUGCCUAUCUGUAAGUAAUUAACUUGCUUCAUGUAACGUGUUGCAUAUGAGUGUGUUCUGUCUCAUAGACUCAGGGAAUUGGUAACACUGCAGCUGAGGACGCAGUGGACAGAAGUGUUCAGACUCCUGUUCCUUGUGGUUGACACAGUGAUGAUGAUCUCUUCUGUCCUCCACAGAGUGGAAGUCCUCUCUUGGGAUUGGUUAUUGGUGAAACCACUUCGCAAUUUAUUAAGAUGGCAAAAGCUUACGGAGGGACAGAUUUGAGGGGAAGAUCAAGAUUUUUCUGUCAGUAUUGCAAAUAGUCAAGAAUAUGUGGUCCAAGAAGUGAUCAUUAUCUUUGGCAUUGUGCAAGUCAUUAGUGACCUUCACAUGAACAGUCUCAGUGGAGUGUUGGAGGAAAAAGCCUAACUGAAGAAGGUUCAAGAGUGAAUGGAAAAAGAGCAGUAGUAUGUGGAGAGUACAGACAAGUAUUUCCAGGAGCCUUUCUGUAAAGAGUGGUAGAGAAUGGGACAUCAUUUUUGGAUGGGGGAAGAGUUAUUUAUAGCAUGUUCAUAUGCUAAUGGAAGUGAUCUACUCAUGGGGAAAAUCUUGAUGAUGCAAGAAAGAAAGGGAUUUGUUGGAAUCUUGUCCUAUAACGGGUGAGAGGGGAUGGGUUCUAGAAGAAAAGGCAUGGGUCUUUGUUUGAGAUCAGGCAAUUCAUCUGUAGGAACCAGUAGGAAGAUGGUUAAGUGGGUACCUGUGGUAGUGGAUGUUUGUGAACAUUCUUUUCUUUUCCAUUGUUUCUAUUUUCUCAAUAAAGUGGGAAGCAAAAAUCAGCUGAGUGAAGAUGAGGAAGAAGGUGUUAAAGGUUUGAAGAAAAAAGGAAAAGGAUAUACUAAUCUAAGAGGACAAGUAAGUAGAACAUAGAUAAUGAAAAUGCUGGCCCUUAGGACUGUUGGGCCUAAAUGCUCAUAUUAUAUUGGUAGUCACAAAUUUGAACUUUCUCUAGAGCCAAUUUUUGCAUGUGUGUGCAGGCCUGGAGUAGUUGGAGAGUUGGAUUUAAUAGAAUUGAGGGUCAAGCAACUACAACCAGGGAAGAGUGGGACAAGGGAGAUAAAGGAUAUUGGCAGGGGAGCAAUUAUAAACAUGGACCAUGAUCAAAACUGGACAGGAAGGAAAAUAGAGAUAAGAGGGGUGGAAGGUUAAAAAUAGUGAAAAUGAGAUAGAAUGAAUAGGUUGUAGGUCCCUGUAAAGUUGAAGAAGUAUUAUUAUGCAGUACUCGUUAUUGAAAUGAGGUCACUAUGCUUAAGGCACAGUGAAUCCUAGAAAAUAGUGGUUUUGUUUCUCAUUAGGCAAUACAUUCCUCCUUGCUCCAGAAUGCAACAUACAUGUAUCCUUUUCUGUACUAUUUUUUAUUAAGAAUUCAUACUUAAUUCCACUGACUGCCACUCAAUUUUAAUGUACAGUAGGGAAUUCCUGUACUAUGUAUUAUGAAUCCAUUCCUUUGAAUUUCAUUUAUAAUACUUCAUGACUGACACCUGGCUUUCCACCAAGACUCAAUUUUCAUAGCAAGCCUCAUCAUCAUAAGCCCCCAAAUUAACAGGAUGAGGAGGAAGAAUUGGCAGGCUAAAGAAGAUGAUUAUAUCAAUUAAUGCAGAAAAAGCAUUUGAUAAAAUCCAAUAUUCAUUUGUAAUUAAAAACUCUCAGCAAGUUAGGGAUAGGAAUUACUUCAACUUAAUGAAGAGUGUCUUUAAAAACCUUAUUUUCAUCAGUUAUAACAAAUGUACCACUCUGGUGGUGAAUGUUGCUAAGGAGGGAAGCUAUACAUGUGUGGGGAAAGGAGAUGUGUGAGCAAUUUCUGUACCUUCUACUCAAUCUUCUGUGAGACUAAAAUUGCUG